GGAUUGUCCAAGAUUUUUGUGAUAUCGUAAGAGGAUUUAUUUUGUUUGUUCCGCUGUUGUACGGCACUACGUUGACUGGCAGGAGGGCAUGUGAUCAGACACACAGUAUCGGGGUUCAAGAGUGGUAUGUUGGUCAUGUGUCCAUUCGCCAGGCAACAUAGUGCUGUACAAGUAGCGCGAAAAACAAACUUCAAAUUAACGCUACGCGUUCAGCGGGAGUCGUGGAUGACGAGCGGCGAUAAACUUGCGAAAAGCAAGUUAUGCUCAACUCCACCGGUGGAACCUGACAGCGUGGAAAAGUGUGAAAACAUCCAUGAUCACCAACGGAUUUCAAAGGGCUGGACUGCUGCAUGAUGGAGAGGAAGACACCGCCACGGCCCUUCAGAGGGGGUUCGACUCUGACACUGACAAUGAGGAUUUCUUUGGUUUUGUAAGUGACAACGAAUGAAAGAAGCUGAGAGUGGAUGACGUAGCCAUCCUGAGCCUGUUCGUAUUCGACACUGGAGGAGAGGACUUUGGUGGUUUUAGUGCGCAGGAAGAUGGUGGUGAAUGACUGACUUUUCUUCUUGUUAAAGCCAUGUCACUGCACCUGAGCCUAAAAGAUGCGACCUCACAAAAGAUGUUAACGAUGCUGUCAGACCUGACCAGAGCAGUUAACGAACUCCGUGAGGAGGUCAGAGCCAACCGCCAUCCCUGCUGCAAUGAAUCUGUAGAUGCUGGGGUAUUGCCUCUGGAUUUGCCUUUGCACAACAUUGAGGAGCUAAACAAUGCAGGGGCAGCCCUUCAAUCACCGGAGGCAAAUAAGGCAAUGGUGAGGCGCUUUGCCUUGAUUGGAGGGACCACACUGGAGGUGCGAGUCUGCCGCACCGCCAAACGAGCUGGCCUCGGUACUCAAUUGGGCAGGGAAAAAAACAAGGACCAGACAGCAAAAAAUGGCAUUUAAAGAGACAGCGCAGUGCAGAUGCAUAUUUGAUGGCCUGACGCAGCAGGUAGGGGCAAACUCUAUGUCUGAGUUUGUCUUUGCUCAAGCAGUCCAGAAAUGGCUCAGAUAUGCUCCGGAUUGUAAAAAUUAAAAAGUGACGUGAAACAUAGAAAUCUUAAUAGGAAACUUUGUCUUUUAAUAAAAUAUUUUGCAAACGAUACAUGUCUAUUGACCUUUUUUUUUCUUUUCUGUUCUCUG
Long non-coding RNA from Astatotilapia calliptera (eastern happy), 1180 nucleotides. Lineage: Eukaryota; Metazoa; Chordata; Actinopteri; Cichliformes; Cichlidae. The record is from Ensembl.